This 351-nucleotide ribosomal RNA is filed under the name Triticum aestivum (bread wheat). Its description in RNAcentral is "partial small subunit ribosomal RNA". The record is from RNAcentral. Lineage: Eukaryota; Viridiplantae; Streptophyta; Magnoliopsida; Poales; Poaceae.
GCCCCGGUUCCGUACCGGCAAGCUCACUUGGCAUAUGAGCCAGCAAAGUAUUGCAUGUGUGCUCCGAGGGCGAAAGCGCCGAUGUGGAUCUCCUGGAGCGACAAGAACCCAGGGAGAAGGUACCUGGCCUGUCCGAAGGGGAGGGUGAGUUCGUCAUAUCGAUCGUUAAUUUUUGGUCAACAGACUUUCGGCUGUGGUUUCUUCCAGUGGGUUGACGAAGAAACAAGCCCGUUUCUCACACAGUUGCGGCUGGAUCUGAGGAAUGCCAUGUGGUCUCUAGAAGCACACAACAGAAUACUUGACCGCAAUGUGCACGGCUGGCGGAGCCCGAACCUGGAGCAUAUUAAAGUU